Molecule: ribosomal RNA, 429 nt
Filed under: uncultured bacterium
Lineage: Bacteria
Description: bacterial SSU rRNA
Rfam family: Bacterial small subunit ribosomal RNA
Source: RNAcentral
UAGGGAAUCUUCCACAAUGGGCGCAAGCCUGAUGGAGCAACACCGCGUGAGUGAAGAAGGGUUUCGGCUCGUAAAGCCCUGUUGUUGGAGAAGAACGUGCGUGAGAGUAACUGUUCACGCUUCGACGGUAUCCAACCAGAAAGCCCCUGCUAACUACGUACCAUCAACCGCGGUAAUACGUAGGUGGCAAGCGUUAUCCGGAUUUAUUGGGCGUAAAGCGAGCGCAGGCGGUUGCUUAGGUCUGAUGUGAAAGCCUUCGGCUUAACCGAAGAAGUGCAUCGGAAACCGGGCGACUUGAGUGCAGAAGAGGACAGUGGAACUCCAUGUGUAGCGGUGGAAUGCGUAGAUAUAUGGAAGAACACCAGUGGCGAAGGCGGCUGUCUGGUCUGCAACUGACGCUGAGGCUCGAAAGCAUGGGUAGCGAACAGG